This 352-nucleotide long non-coding RNA is filed under the name Medicago truncatula (barrel medic). RNAcentral's name for it is "long non-coding RNA (MTRU_LNC004944)". Lineage: Eukaryota; Viridiplantae; Streptophyta; Magnoliopsida; Fabales; Fabaceae. The record is from RNAcentral.
AAACACCAAUAACGAAUGAUAAAAAGAGUUGGAUGCAUAAAUAAUGGAUUGAAGAUGUAUCGGUGUAAAAUAUUUUAUAAAUUAAAAGUACCAUAGAAUGAAUUUUUGUACAAUAUUUUAUAUCAGUUAUGUGAAUAAGUGUGGUGUCUAGGGUUCGAACUCCGGCCCCUGUUUAUAAUAAUACAUUGUCCUACCAACUGAGCUAUGUUCACGGGACUAUUUUAUAUCAGAGUUAACACACAUUAAAUGUGAAAUUGUAUGAAGUGAGCAAAGGUUGUGUUCUUUUGCACAAAGAAAGAGAAUUAAAUAGUUAUGGUAUGUAAUAAAUGAAAGAAAAAAAAAAUAAACAAGG